This is a non-coding RNA of Schistosoma haematobium, 48 nucleotides long. NCBI's taxonomy places the organism in Eukaryota, Metazoa, Platyhelminthes, Trematoda, Strigeidida, Schistosomatidae. The record is from Rfam.
AUCCAUCUGACGAGUUCCAAAUAGAACGAAACACAUGUCAAACUGGAU